CUCUAGAGAUUGCUCAGGACGAACGCUGGCGGCGUGCUUAACACAUGCAAGUCGAACGAUGAAGCGGUGCUUGCACCGUGGAUUAGUGGCGAACGGGUGAGUAACACGUGAGUAACCUGCCCCUUUCUCUGGGAUAAGCGCUGGAAACGGCGUCUAAUACUGGAUAUUCAGGUCCUGCCGCAUGGUGGGGUUUGGAAAGAUUUUUUGGUGAGGGAUGGGCUCGCGGCCUAUCAGUUUGUUGGUGGGGUAAUGGCCUACCAAGACGACGACGGGUAGCCGGCCUGAGAGGGUGACCGGCCACACUGGGACUGAGACACGGCCCAGACUCCUACGGGAGGCAGCAGUGGGGAAUAUUGCACAAUGGGCGAAAGCCUGAUGCAGCGACGCCGCGUGAGGGAUGACGGCCUUCGGGUUGUAAACCUCUUUCAGUAGGGAAGAAGCCGCUUGCGGUGACGGUACCUGCAGAAGAAGCGCCGGCUAACUACGUGCCAGCAGCCGCGGUAAUACGUAGGGCGCAAGCGUUGUCCGGAAUUAUUGGGCGUAAAGAGCUCGUAGGCGGUUUGUCGCGUCUGCUGUGAAAACGCGAGGCUCAACCUCGCGCCUGCAGUGGGUACGGGCAGACUAGAGUGUGGUAGGGGAGACUGGAAUUCCUGGUGUAGCGGUGGAAUGCGCAGAUAUCAGGAGGAACACCGAUGGCGAAGGCAGGUCUCUGGGCCACUACUGACGCUGAGGAGCGAAAGCAUGGGGAGCGAACAGGAUUAGAUACCCUGGUAGUCCAUGCCGUAAACGUUGGGCACUAGGUGUGGGAUCCAUUCCACGGGUUCCGUGCCGCAGCUAACGCAUUAAGUGCCCCGCCUGGGGAGUACGGCCGCAAGGCUAAAACUCAAAGGAAUUGACGGGGGCCCGCACAAGCGGCGGAGCAUGCGGAUUAAUUCGGUGCAACGCGAAGAACCUUACCAAGGUUUGACAUAUACGAGAAUCUGCUAGAGAUAGCAGCCUCUUUGGACACUCGUAUACAGGUGGUGCAUGGUUGUCGUCAGCUCGUGUCGUGAGAUGUUGGGUUAAGUCCCGCAACGAGCGCAACCCUCGUCCUAUGUUGCCAGCACGUAAUGGUGGGGACUCAUAGGAGACUGCCGGGGUCAACUCGGAGGAAGGUGGGGAUGACGUCAAAUCAUCAUGCCCCUUAUGUCUUGGGCUUCACGCAUGCUACAAUGGCCGGUACAAAGGGCUGCGAUACCGUGAGGUGGAGCGAAUCCCGGAAAGCCGGUCUCAGUUCGGAUUGGGGUCUGCAACUCGACCCCAUGAAGUCGGAGUCGCUAGUAAUCGCAGAUCAGCAACGCUGCGGUGAAUACGUUCUCGGGCCUUGUACACACCGCCCGUCACGUCAUGAAAGUCGGUAACACCCGAAGCCGGUGGCCCAACCCUUGUGGGGGGAGCUGUCGAAGGUGGGAUUGGCGAUUGGGACGAAGUCGUAACAAGGUAACCAAU
RNAcentral lists this ribosomal RNA (1488 nucleotides) under Ruania halotolerans. RNAcentral's name for it is "16S ribosomal RNA". It matches the Rfam family "Bacterial small subunit ribosomal RNA". The record is from RNAcentral. Lineage: Bacteria; Bacillati; Actinomycetota; Actinomycetes; Micrococcales; Ruaniaceae.